GGCCUCGUAGCUCAGCUGGUAGAGCAUGCGCGUACAAAGAGUACGUGGUGUCCAUGCGUGGGUUCAAAUCCCACCGAGGCUA
This is a non-coding RNA of Echinostoma caproni, 82 nucleotides long. NCBI's taxonomy places the organism in Eukaryota, Metazoa, Platyhelminthes, Trematoda, Plagiorchiida, Echinostomatidae. The record is from Rfam.